GCGGACUACAGGGGUUUCUAAUCCUUUUCGCUCCCCUGGCCUUCGUCUCUCAGCGUCAGUAAUUGUCCAGAGUCUCGCCUUCGCCACUAGUGUUCCUCUCGAUAUCUACGCAUUUCACUGCUACACCGAGAAUUCCAGACUCCCCUCCAAUACUCUAGCAAGGCAGUAUCGGAUGCAGUUCCGGGGUUGAGCCCCGGGAUUUCACAUCUGACUUACCCCGCCGCCUACAGACUCUUUACGCCCAGUAAAUCCGAACAACGCUUGGGACCUUCGUAUUACCGCGGCUGCUGGCACUU
This 296-nucleotide unclassified non-coding RNA is filed under the name uncultured Verrucomicrobiales bacterium. RNAcentral's name for it is "contains 16S-23S intergenic spacer region". The record is from RNAcentral. Lineage: Bacteria; Pseudomonadati; Verrucomicrobiota; Verrucomicrobiia; Verrucomicrobiales.